This 252-nucleotide ribosomal RNA is filed under the name uncultured bacterium. Its description in RNAcentral is "partial 16S ribosomal RNA". It matches the Rfam family "Bacterial small subunit ribosomal RNA", at positions 524 to 775 of the family's 1533-position model. The record is from RNAcentral.
UACGGGGGGGGCGAGCGUUGUCCGAAGUUACUGGGCGUAAAGCGCGUGUAGGCGGGUUGUUAAGUCCGCUGUGAAAGCCCGGUGCUCAACGCCGGAGGGUCGGUGGAUACUGGCAGUCUUGAAGUGGCUAGGGGGAAAUGGAAUUACCGGUGUAGCGGUGAAAUGCGUAGAUAUCGGUAGGAACACCAGUGGCGAAGGCGGUUUCCUGGAGCUAACUUGACGCUGAGACGCGAAAGCUGGGGGAGCAAACGG